This 357-nucleotide ribosomal RNA is filed under the name uncultured bacterium. Its description in RNAcentral is "bacterial SSU rRNA". It matches the Rfam family "Bacterial small subunit ribosomal RNA", at positions 8 to 350 of the family's 1533-position model. The record is from RNAcentral.
AGAGUUUGAUCAUGGCUCAGGACGAACGCUGGCGGCGUGCUUAACACAUGCAAGUCGAACGGAGAACUUAUUUCGGUAAGUUCUUAGUGGCGAACGGGUGAGUAACGCGUGGGCAACCUGCCCUCCAGUUGGGGACAACAUUCCGAAAGGGAUGCUAAUACCGAAUGUGCUCCCUUCUCCGCAUGGAGGAGGGAGGAAGAUGGCCUCUGCUUGCAAGCUAUCGCUGGAAGAUGGGCCCGCGUCUGAUUAGCUAGUUGGUGGGGUAACGGCUCACCAAGGUCGAUGAUCAGUAGCCGGUCUGAGAGGAUGAACGGCCACAUUGGGACUGAGACGCGGCCCAAACUCCUACGGGAGGCA